GUGCUCGCUUCAGCGGCAUAUAUGCUAACAGUGGAGUGAUACAGAGAAGAUCAGCAUGGCCCCAGCACAAGGAUGACUCACAAAUUCCUGAAGGAAUCACGCAAAGAAU
Molecule: small nuclear RNA, 109 nt
Organism: Suricata suricatta (meerkat)
Lineage: Eukaryota; Metazoa; Chordata; Mammalia; Carnivora; Herpestidae
Source: Ensembl